AAUGAACGCUGGCGGCGUGCCUAACACAUGCAAGUCGCACGAGAACACCCUGCUUCGGCGGGGUAAGUAAAGUGGCGCACGGGUGAGUAACGCGUGGGCAACCUGCCUCCGGAUCGGGGAUAACACUGCGAAAGCGGUGCUAAUACCGGAUGAUGUCAUAAGAUCUCCGGAUUUUAUGACCAAAGACGGCCUCUGCGUGCAAGCCGUUGUCGGGAGAGGGGGCCCGCGUACCAUUAGCCGGCCGGUGGGGUAACGGCCCACCGGGGCGACGAUGGUUAGCCGGUCUGAGAGGAUGACCGGUCACACCGGAACUGACACACGGUCCGGACUCCUACGGGAGGCAGCAGUGGGGAAUUUUCCGCAAUGGGCGAAAGCCUGACGGAGCAAGACCGCGUGGGGGAGGAAGGUUUUUGGAUCGUAAACCCCUUUUGUCAAGGAAGAAGCUCUGACGGUACUUGACGAAUAAGCCUCGGCUAACUCCGUGCCAGCCGCCGCGGUAAUU
RNAcentral lists this ribosomal RNA (502 nucleotides) under uncultured bacterium. RNAcentral's name for it is "bacterial SSU rRNA". It matches the Rfam family "Bacterial small subunit ribosomal RNA", at positions 28 to 525 of the family's 1533-position model. The record is from RNAcentral.